AUUGAACGCUGGCGGCAGGCCUAACACAUGCAAGUCGAACGAGGGGCGGACGGGUGAGGAAUGUCUGGGAAACUGCCCGAUGGAGGGGGAUAACUGCAGGAAACGGUAGCUAAUAACGCAUACGAUCGGAUGGGCGCAGAUGGGAUUAGAUUGUAGGUGAGGUAACGGCUCACCCAGGGGACGGUCCCUAGCUGGUGUGAGAGGAUGACCAGCCACACUGUAACGGAGACACGUUCCAGACUCCUACGGGAGGCAGCAGUGGGGAAGUUUGCACAAUGGGGGCAAGCCUGAUGCAGCCAUGCCGCGUGUAUGAAGAAGGCCUUCGGGUUGUAAAGUACUUUCAGCGGGGAGGCGUUACCCGCAGAAGAAGCACCGGCUAACUCCGUGCCAGCCGCCGCGGUAAUCC
This 406-nucleotide ribosomal RNA is filed under the name uncultured bacterium. Its description in RNAcentral is "partial 16S ribosomal RNA". It matches the Rfam family "Bacterial small subunit ribosomal RNA", at positions 29 to 526 of the family's 1533-position model. The record is from RNAcentral.